This 204-nucleotide unclassified non-coding RNA is filed under the name Hevea brasiliensis (rubber tree). The record is from RNAcentral. Lineage: Eukaryota; Viridiplantae; Streptophyta; Magnoliopsida; Malpighiales; Euphorbiaceae.
AUAAAUAAAUAAAUAAAUAAAUUUAGAUGAUGCUUGAAUUUGAAUUAUAUUUAGUUUGGGGGAUGGUCGGGGGCUACGUAACACUGAAGCAUAGGAUACAAAUAGACUGAACCUCAACUUCAGUGAGAAAAUUUGUGUAAUAUAUGAUAAUGUAUGUGCAUAUGAUGGUAAAUGAAGCUAAUUUGCCUGCAUUAUGCUGCUGCA